GGGCCGGUAGUUCAGCGGUAGAAUGUCCGCCUUGCAAGCGAGAGGUCGCGGGUUCGAAUCCCGCCCGGUCCA
This 72-nucleotide transfer RNA is filed under the name Nitrososphaerales archaeon. Its description in RNAcentral is "tRNA-Ala". It matches the Rfam family "tRNA". From Rfam's summary of the family: Transfer RNA (tRNA) molecules are approximately 80 nucleotides in length. Their secondary structure includes four short double-helical elements and three loops (D, anti-codon, and T loops). Further hydrogen bonds mediate the characteristic L-shaped molecular structure. tRNAs have two regions of fundamental functional importance: the anti-codon, which is responsible for specific mRNA codon recognition, and the 3' end, to which the tRNAs corresponding amino acid is attached (by aminoacyl-tRNA synthetases). tRNAs cope with the degeneracy of the genetic code in two manners: having more than one tRNA (with a specific anti-codon) for a particular amino acid; and 'wobble' base-pairing, i.e. permitting non-standard base-pairing at the 3rd anti-codon position. Lineage: Archaea; Thermoproteati; Nitrososphaerota; Nitrososphaeria; Nitrososphaerales. The record is from RNAcentral.